Molecule: ribosomal RNA, 227 nt
Filed under: Lotharella globosa
Lineage: Eukaryota; Cercozoa; Chlorarachniophyceae
Description: partial Bacterial large subunit ribosomal RNA
Rfam family: Bacterial large subunit ribosomal RNA
Source: RNAcentral
GCUUAGAAGCAGCCAUUCCUUUAAAGAGUGCGUAAUAGCUCACUAGUCAAGCGACUCGGCGUCGAUAAUAAGCGGGCAUAAGCCGUUUGCCGAAGCUGUGGGAUUGAAAAAUCGGUAGGGGAGCAUUCCAGUUGCGUCGAAGUUGACCUGCGAGGGUUGGUGGAGCGGCUGGAAGCGAAACUGUAGGCAUGAGUAACGAUAAGAAGGGUGAAAAACCCUUCCACCGU